CGCUGGCGGCGUGCUUAACACAUGCAAGUCGAACGGAAAGGCCCUGCUUUUGUGGGGUGCUCGAGUGGCGAACGGGUGAGUAACACGUGAGUAACCUGCCCUUGACUUUGGGAUAACUUCAGGAAACUGGGGCUAAUACCGGAUAGGAGCUCCUGCUGCAUGGUGGGGGUUGGAAAGUUUCGGCGGUUGGGGAUGGACUCGCGGCUUAUCAGCUUGUUGGUGGGGUAGUGGCUUACCCAGGCUUUGACGGGUAGCCGGCCUGAGAGGGUGACCGGCCACAUUGGGACUGAGAUACGGCCCAGACUCCUACGGGAGGCAGCAGUGGGGAAUAUUGCACAAUGGGCGGAAGCCUGAUGCAGCAACGCCGCGUGCGGGAUGACGGCCUUCGGGUUGUAAACCGCUUUCGCCUGUGACGAAGCGUGAGUGACGGUAAUGGGUAAAGAAGCACCGGCUAACUACGUGCCAGCAGCCGCGGUGAUACGUAGGGUGCGAGCGUUGUCCGGAUUUAUUGGGCGUAAAGGGCUCGUAGGUGGUUGAUCGCGUCGGAAGUGUAAUCUUGGGGCUUAACCCUGAGCGUGCUUUCGAUACGGGUUGACUUGAGGAAGGUAGGGGAGAAUGGAAUUCCUGGUGGAGCGGUGGAAUGCGCAGAUAUCAGGAGGAACACCAGUGGCGAAGGCGGUUCUCUGGGCCUUUCCUGACGCUGAGGAGCGAAAGCGUGGGGAGCGAACAGGCUUAGAUACCCUGGUAGUCCACGCUGUAAACGGUGGGUACUAGGUGUGGGGUCCAUUCCACGGGUUCCGUGCCGUAGCUAACGCUUUAAGUACCCCGCCUGGGGAGUACGGCCGCAAGGCUAAAACUCAAAGGAAUUGACGGGGCCCCGCACAAGCGGCGGAGCAUGCGGAUUAAUUCGAUGCAACGCGUAGAACCUUACCUGGGUUUGACAUGGAUCGGGAGUGCUCAGAGAUGGGUGUGCCUCUUUUGGGGUCGGUUCACAGGUGGUGCAUGGCUGUCGUCAGCUCGUGUCGUGAGAUGUUGGGUUAAGUCCCGCAACGAGCGCAACCCUUGUUCACUGUUGCCAGCACGUUAUGGUGGGGACUCAGUGGAGACCGCCGGGGUCAACUCGGAGGAAGGUGGGGAUGACGUCAAGUCAUCAUGCCCCUUAUGUCCAGGGCUUCACGCAUGCUACAAUGGCUGGUACAGAGAGUGGCGAGCCUGUGAGGGUGAGCGAAUCUCGGAAAGCCGGUCUCAGUUCGGAUUGGGGUCUGCAACUCGACCUCAUGAAGUCGGAGUCGCUAGUAAUCGCAGAUCAGCAACGCUGCGGUGAAUACGUUCCCGGGGCUUGUACACACCGCCCGUCAAGUCAUGAAAGUUGGUAACACCCGAAGCCAAUGGCCUAACCGUUGUGGGGGAGCCGUCGAAGGUGGG
Molecule: ribosomal RNA, 1425 nt
Filed under: uncultured organism
Description: 16S ribosomal RNA
Rfam family: Bacterial small subunit ribosomal RNA
Source: RNAcentral